This 163-nucleotide non-coding RNA is filed under the name pig gut metagenome. The record is from RNAcentral.
UUGGUAACAAGGGGUCUGGAGGAAGCCGAUAGCAAAGCACUGACCUGAUGAACAAGAAGCAGAUAUGAGGCAUACUGGGCGGGUAAGGGAGCCAAAAGACUUAAAGCCCAAAUACACGUACGGAACCCACUAUGUAAAUCUGACAGGUAUAAGUGUGAAAGCA